RNAcentral lists this small RNA (652 nucleotides) under Rattus norvegicus (Norway rat). Its description in RNAcentral is "uncharacterized LOC102547760". Lineage: Eukaryota; Metazoa; Chordata; Mammalia; Rodentia; Muridae. The record is from RNAcentral.
UGGUUACACUCAUUAUUACUUCAUGAGUGCAGGUAACACCAGGCUUCUUAGAAUGAUGAAGAGGUCUAUCACAGCUGUUUUGCUAGAAGUUGUCUCUCUUGCCAAAGACACGAUUACAAGAACUUAAAGAUUUGAUAAUCUAAGUUUCUACUAUCUCAGCAAAGAUGGGACUCCCUCAACGACUACCUUGGGAACACAGCCCUGUCACUUGAACACCAAAAAGGUAUUUCAAUUACAGCAACACAAAGGGAGCCAGUACAACAGGAUGAUGGGUAACAGAAACUUGCACCACAUAGCUUUCAGGGUUCUGUCCGGUCCAUGACCAGCAUUCAAUAAAGACUUGCUGAUGAUGCAGAAGAGCAGGUUCAGCAGUUUUCACUGGUGAAAACCGCUGACUGUGAGAAGUGCUCUGUCCAUGCUGAGGAUGGGGACAGUCCAAGGGACCUCAUCAUUGGGCCAGAAUGGGUCUUCCACACUUAUGAACAAAAACUUCCCGUGACCUACUUUCCAUCUUGAAUCAAAAUAAAAAAGUCAUCUUGCACUCCGCAGCAUACUGUGAUAUAAAAUUCUCAGGUUUUCCGCCUACCUACACGGAGCACCACCUAAAACUCGACCAAACCUCACUACAAUUUGUGCAAUAACAUGAUGCCUC